Molecule: long non-coding RNA, 190 nt
Organism: Sinocyclocheilus grahami
Lineage: Eukaryota; Metazoa; Chordata; Actinopteri; Cypriniformes; Cyprinidae
Exons: 3
Source: RefSeq, a predicted model, not a curated record
AAUUAUGGUACAACACUGCUGUACCAUAAUUGGAUUGUUUUAUACAGGUAAAAAAUGAAAAUAAACUGAACAGUACUAAUACUGACAAUACAGUAAUAAUACUUUAAAUGAAAAUACAGUAAUAUAUCCAGCUACUGUAACAUUUACAGAAAUCUCUUUACAGUGUAGUUUAGGUGCCUAUCAGUUGGCA